Non-coding RNA from Schizosaccharomyces pombe (fission yeast), 607 nucleotides. The record is from the annotation of a GenBank genome assembly. NCBI's taxonomy places the organism in Eukaryota, Fungi, Ascomycota, Schizosaccharomycetes, Schizosaccharomycetales, Schizosaccharomycetaceae.
UACUGAUUAUAAGUCUUCUCGUUCAAUAAGUCCGGAAAAAUAUACUUUAAGCUUAGAAGUGUAUUGUCCUUUCGCAUUUUUUUGCAAUUUUGGAUCCUCAACUAAUACACCGCUGGCGUUUUGUAGUAAUGUGCUGCGGAUUUCAUAAAACUGUUUCAUAUCCCAUAAAAGAAAGCAUUCUUUAGUAAUAUCGUGAUUGAUAUAUAAGUCAGUGAUCAGUUUUAAUAACAGUUUUCUUAAAUAUUGAUCAGAAUGCUCGUUCCUUGAUGCCUCUUCACAAAUUCUGACCAAUACCGUAUUCAAUGCGAUUUUAUAAGAAUUGGUUUUGCUAAGGAAACUAUCCAACAAAUUUUCAAUGCAAAGGGAAAGCUCUUGCUGAAAAUCUUUAAACGUAAUUUGACUAUUUAUCGAACCUUUGAGGCUUAAUUUGAUGUAUACAAGAAGAAGAGUAAACACCAAUUCUAACCAAAAAUUAGUGACAUCUUCCGCUGAAACUUCUUUCGUGCACUGCUCAAACAAAGGAACCACUGUUUUUAGGUGUAAACAUAGACGCUCAAUCCUUCGACUUGUCAUAUCGUCGCUUUUUUCGAGGUCGAAAACAGACAUU